Molecule: small nuclear RNA, 260 nt
Filed under: Tupaia belangeri chinensis (Chinese tree shrew)
Lineage: Eukaryota; Metazoa; Chordata; Mammalia; Scandentia; Tupaiidae
Description: Tupaia chinensis (Chinese tree shrew) U2 spliceosomal RNA
Rfam family: U2 spliceosomal RNA
About the family: U2 is a small nuclear RNA (snRNA) component of the spliceosome (involved in pre-mRNA splicing). Complementary binding between U2 snRNA (in an area lying towards the 5' end but 3' to hairpin I) and the branchpoint sequence (BPS) of the intron results the bulging out of an unpaired adenosine, on the BPS, which initiates a nucleophilic attack at the intronic 5' splice site, thus starting the first of two transesterification reactions that mediate splicing.
Source: Rfam by way of RNAcentral
AGUGCUUCUUUGCCUUUGGGCUAAGAUCACUAUUUUUAACAGUGUAACAUCUGAUGCUUCUUCUAUCUAACAACAUAUUAAAUGGGCCCCAUUGGGGGUGCUUGCUCUCUCUCACAUGUGCAUGCAUGCGUGUCCUCUGGCAUAAUAAAGGAAAAAAAUUAAUGGAUUUUUGGAGCAGGGAGCUGUAGAGUAGAAGUUUGUUCCAUCUACGCUGCACGUUAAUCUGGUAUUGCGAUACAUCUAGGAGUGGUGCAAUUCUU